UUUUAUUCAUAAAGGAAUUCACCAUCAACUGAUAGGUAGCAUCCGUUAUUUUCUAUUCUCUCAACUCAGAUAAUCAUUCCAAAGACAAAGGUUUAGAUGCAUCCUCCAUUCCUCUGCACGUUUCAGUCUCAACCCAAUUUUUACUUCAAUAUUUAGCAAUCUCACGGGGUUCCUCCACUCCUUUUGUUUUCUACAAUUUUUUUUUUUUUUUGCUCUCUGAGAUACAUUUUUUCAUUUACAUAGAAGAAGCCAAUUUGCAUAGCAAAAGCGUCAAAAUUUUAGUGAAAAAUGACGUAAUUUGCAUUGAAGGUUGGCAAUAACAUUAAGCGAUUCUCCGUGCCCAUCAAAUAUGUUUUUCGUUUUGAUUGUGGCCUCGAACAAGUCGUUACAUUUUUUUUGAAUCAAUAAUUUCUUUUUAAGUAAAACAAUUUUUAAUUCAAAUUGUAAUCGUCGGUUAAGCUUCAAAGUUUAGGUUAUUCUUUUUUAGAUUCCUUCUCGGCCUUAGGGCUUGGAAUGUAGAUUAUUGUUGAUAAUAUCGAGAUCGGAGAAAAUACUGAGGGGAUGCAGCUUCCCUUGAGAUUGGGUAUCGAAAUUAAGUUGGGAAAUUAGGGUUUUGGAUUUAACUAGAGAGAAACUUAAUUCCUUUGAGGCUUGGAAUUUUUCUCGGCCGGUGUUCAAUCCAAACAAAGAAGAAGGUUUCGGAGAAUUGGUUGGCGGAAGACAAAUUGGAAUGCGUAAAGAACUUGGAGACCUUCUGAAGUGGUAAACUGUAUUCUCGUUAUAGACUAUGGAUAAUGAUCUUGCAUGGAAGCGUAUAUUAAAGUUGUUGCAGCUUUUGUAAAAAAUAGGAAGUUUGAAUUCUUGAUUUAAUUAAAGUAGGGUUGAGGAAGGCAGCUCAAAUGGCAAAAUUGAUGCCUUGUAAAGCCUAUCACAUUUGGGGAAAUUAUUUUCUCCUCUGCAUCAGCAUAUCAAAGUUUCAUGGUUAAAUGGCAUCCUCAGUUGGUUACGCCUAACAAUGUUUUCCUUCUGCAAACAAUUCAUUGUAGAAAUUUACAGGUUUUGGAAAUCGGUCUAGUUACUUUUCUGGAUCUGGCUGAUGUCAUUUUGGCAGACAGAAUUUUCAACCUCUAUGAUGAAGCUCAAAUUGCUUGACUUGUUUGAGUAAAUUUAGAAGCAUUUGCAUUGUUGAAGAAAGACAACCUUUAGAAAGAUGCAAUGUAAAUCUCCAGUGGCUGGUGAUCAUGAACUUGUUAGCAAGUCGCUUGUUUGCUUUAUUGAAAAGGUAAUCACUCAUUCCAAAUAUGUAGAAAAGUUAUAUGCUGAUUGAUAAUGGUUUAUAAUAUGGAAUUUUUCUUGCCUGUUGAUCAAUCCAAACUAUGAAGAAUCUUUUGUAGAAUUGAUUGGCAGAAGGCAAAUGGGAAUGUGUGAGGAACUUAAAGACCUUAUGAGGUUUUAUUUCCACCACCUUAAUGAAUUUUAUCUAAAAUUUUUUUACUUAAACAAAUUGUGCAUUAUUUGACUUUUUUUUUUUUACUUUUUCUAAUGGUAAACUGUGUUCAGUUUAUAUAAUAUGGACAAUGAUCUUGCAUGAAAGUGUCUAUUAAAGUUGUUGUAGCUUUUGUAGAAAAUGAGGAGUUUGACAAAAUCUUGAUUAAUCAAAAUAGGUAAUUGCAAUUUUUUUUUUUUGAAUUUGUGCUGGUAUUUUCUAUGCUAUUAAUGUGAGCUUUCUCCUUUAAAAGCCUAUCAGAUUCAGGGAGAUUAUUGUCUCCUCUAGAUCAGCAUCAAAGAUUCAUUAUUAGAUGGCAUCCUCAAAUUGGUUACAAUGUCUUCCUUCUGCAAAAAAUUCCUUGUAGAAAUCUGCAGGUUAGUUACUGUUUUCUGCAGCUUUUAGUAUUUGAGGUUUGGAAGUUUGUGGAAUCAUAAGUACAACUGAUAAACAAGUUAAAAUUUGUUAAAUAUUUAAAUUAAAGCCUUUUAAGUCAAUUUUAUAAAUAUUCUUAUUAAGUUAAAAUUUAAUUUUAGCAUUUUCCAACCAAUAGAUGUUAGUAUUUUGAAUUCUUUUGAAGGGAUAGGAUUUUUGUAUGAAGAAACUAUGUUUCUUAGAAAGAUCAGUUGUCAUUUAAUGUUUUACUCGUAGAGAUCUAUUAAUUUUGCAUUGAUGAUAGGCGUGUUUUCUUGUUCCUCUAUUUCAUGCUUUAUUACUUGAUACUUACACAUUGAGGACAAUGUGUUGUUUAAAUUUAGAGGUAUAGGAAAAUUACUCAAAAUUUGAAAUUUUUUUUUGAAUUUUCCUUGAUUUUUGCCCUGAAAUUAAGCUUAAUAUGUAGUAGCUUGAAUUAGUACUAUGCUUUCUUUGAUUAGUUCUCCGUGAAGCCAAUGAUAUGUAGUGAUUGAGAAUGAAUAUAACUUUAGCAAAAGAUUGAAUAUGUGUGAAAUAUGAGAUGGUACUUAUGUCUAGUGAAUUCUUGAAUAUGGUAUUCAUUUGUGAGUGAUGCUUUUGAACAUUGGAUUGCAUUUUUUAUCUAGUGUUGAUUAUGUGAGCGUGAGAUUGUUUUUGCAUUGGUUUUUAGAGUUGUGUUUCAUGAUUCUAGAAUUAGUUUUGAUCAUUUCUCGAGGUGAAAUCCUAGAGGACAUAUGAUUAGGGAAAUGAUAUAGGUUAUUCUUGGAUCGUUUGAGCCUUUCAAGCAAACCUUGACAUAUUAUUUCCAUAAUCACCCCAUUUGAGCCUUAUGAUGCCUUUUCUUUGUUUUAAAACCACAUUACAAGCCCAUAGCCUUAUUUUGUAUAUUUCGUGUCUUUUUGGUCCCUUACCUUAUAUAUGCAUUAGGACAUUCAUCCUCUAUUUAUGAGCUAUGCAUUAUUAGGGAGGAAGGGUGGAGUUUGGACAAAGAAUCUGAAAAUAAAAAGAAAAAAAAAAACAAAAACAAAAACAAAAGAAAAAGAAAAAGUCAAUCUUACAAAAGAAAAAAAAAAGACAAAGAAAGAAAAAUAAAAAGUUGUGAAAAAGAAAAGUAAUAAAGUGGUGAAAAAGCAAAGAAAAUAAUAAAAGAAAGAAAAUUUGGUACAAUCAAAGUUUGGGGGGAUUCUUUAACAAGCUUACCUUUCUUACCUGGGAAGCUCAACCAUGGAUGAUCCUAGACAUGUGAUGCAUUGUUAGGGUACUUGAGCUUAAAUGACUUUUAUCAUAUUUUGACCCAAGCCUUACACUACAAGCUUAAUAAAGUCCUAAAUGAUCCUUGGUCCUGUGUUUAUCUACAUUAGUGGAGAGAGAUGUGAUAAGCAAACUUAUGGAGUAUGAGCAUGCUUUAUUGAUCUUGUUAUUAAAGUUUCAUGUUUUGCAUAACAUUACUAGAUUUCAUGCAAGGAUAUGUGAGAGGUGUUGCUUGCUUGUGGAACCAUAGUUAGGAAUGAUCUUAGCCUAGGUAGAUUCUUGUAUACUAGCACUUGUUCAUGAUUUUACUUUGGUUAUAUCCAUUGAUUAGUCUAUGAGGCAUUGAGAGUAUAGUAUGAUUCUUGCUCAAUCUUGUUUUGCUUGAGGACAAGCAAAAGCUUAAGUUUGGGGGUUUGAUUGCACUAAAAUUUUAACUUUUUCAUGCUUGUUUUUAUGCAGUUUUCCUUACAUUUUGGCUUGUUCCUUAGGAUUUUUGGAAAAACAUUUGUUUGUUGAAUUUGUACUGGCAUUUUCUAUGCUAUUAGUGUGAGAUUUCUCUUAUAAAAGCCUAUCAGAUUUGGAGUGAUUAUUUUCUCCUCUAGAUCAGCAUCAAAGAUUCAUAGUUAAAUUGCAUCAUCAGGUUUGUUACAAUGUCUUCCUUCUGCAAAAAAUUCCUUGUAGAAAUCUGUAGGUUAGUUACUGUUUUCUGCAGCUUUUAAUAUUUGAGAUUUGGAAGCUUGUGGAACCAUAAGUACUAUCAAUAGCCAAGUUAAAAUGUGUUAAAUAUUUAAAUUAAAGCCUUUUAAGUCAAUUUUAUAAAUAUUCCUAUUAAAUUGAAUUAUGUUUUUAGCAUUUUCAAACCAAUAGAUGUUAGCAUUUUGAAUUUUUUUUAUGGAAUAAGAUUUUUGUAGUUAACAUGGAGAAACCCUUUUUUAUAGGAAGAUCAGUUAUCAUUUAAUUGUUUACUUAGAGAUCUGCUAAUUUUGCAUUGAUGAUAUCUCAUAAGGAGGGAGGUUGUCCAGGUGAGUACAAUACCAUUAUACAUCUUUUCUUCAAGUUUAGUUAUGUACAUGGUCAUAAAAUUAGUGGGAUAGACAUAGAACAUAUGUAAUUUUUUAAUGGAUUUUUCUUUUGUUUUCAAAAGAACUUAUCAAGGAGGCUAUUGCUUUGCUAUAACAUAUCUUGAACAAUACGCCACUUCAAUAGAAAGGUUAGCUCUUUCAGAUUAUAUUCUCUAGAACUUUAAAUAUCCAUCUUCUUUAGUAUUUUCAUUAGAUGUUUGUUCUCAUUGAGUUUUUCUUAUAUUGUUUUAUGAUUAUUCUUGUUUGAUUUACUCCCUUUUGCAUAUCUUUAGGUUCCUGAGGCCUUCUAUUUGAGAAAGUAAUUGGUAAUUGUCUUAGGGUUAAUUGGGGUUUAAUUUUUUUGAAGAUAUAUUUGAGGUUUUGAGUUUAAGAUAAGGUUAUAAUACUUGAUUUGUGAGCUUGGGUUUGUUCAAUCAGUAAAAUGAGUUGAGAAAGUAAUGGAAAUUGGUCUAGUUACUUUUCUGGAUCUGGCUGAUGUCAUUUUGGCAAAUGGAAUGUUCAGCCCCUAUAAUCAAGCUCAAAUUGCUUGAGUAGAUUGAGAAACAUUUGCAUUGUUGAAGAAAGACAACCUUUAGAAAGAUGCACUGGGAAUCUCUGGUGGCUGGUGAUCAUGAACUUGCCAGCAAGUCACUUGUUUACUUUAUUGAAAAGGUAAUCCCUCAUUCCAAAUACAUAGAAAAGUUAUAUGCUGAUUGAUAAUGGUUUAUGAUAUGGAAUUUAUCUCACCCGGUGAUCAAUCCAAACAAUAAAGAAUCUUUUGUAGAAUUGAUUGGUGGAAGGCAAAUGGGAAUGUGUGAGAAACUUAAAGACCUUCUGAAGGUUUUAUUUCCUCCCCCUUAAUGAAUUUUAUCUGAAAUUUUUUUACUUCAACAAAUUGUGCUUGAUUUGACUUUUUUUUCUUUUUCUAAUGGUAAACUGUGUUCUGUUUAUAGAAUAUGGACAACAAUCUCGCAUGAAAGCAUAUACUAAAGUUGUUGUAGCUUUUGUAGAAAAUGGGGAGUUUGACAAAAUCUUGAUUUAAUCAAAAUAGGUGAUUGCAACUUUUGUUUUCUUGAAUUUGUCCUGAUAUUUUCUAUGCUAUUAAUGUGAGCUUUCCCUUUUAAAAGCCUAUCAGAUUUGGGGAGAUUAUUUUCUCCUCUAGAUCAGUAUCAAAGAUUCAUUAUUAAAUGGCAUCCUUGAGUUGGUUACAAUGUCUUCCUUCUAUAAAAAAUUCCUUGUAGAAAUCUGUAGGUUAGUUACUGUUUUCUGUAGCUUUUAGUAUUUGAGAUUUGGAAGUUUGUGGAAUCAUAAGUACAACUGAUAAGCAUGUUAAAAUGUGUUAAAUAUUUAAAUCAAAGCCUUUUAAGUAAUUUUAUAAAUAUUCUUAUUAAAUUAAAGUCUCUUUUUAGCAUUUUCCAACCCAUAGAAGUUAGUAUUAUGAAUUUUUUUGAUGAUAUAGGAUUUCUGUAUGGAGAAACUAUUUUUCUUAGAAAUAUCAGUUGUCAUUUAAUGUUUUACUCAUAGAGAUCUAUUAAUUUUGCAUUGAUGAUGUCUCAAAAGGAUAGAGGUUAUCCAGGUGAGUACAAUGCCAUUAUACAUCUUUUCUUCAAGUUUUGUUAUGUCAAUUGGUUGUAAAAGUAGUGAGAUAUAUACAGAACAAAUGUAAAUUUUUAAUGGAUUUUUCUUUUUGUUUUCAAAGAAACUUAUUGAGGAGGCUACUGCUUUGCUAUACCUAAUGUUGAAAGAUUUGCCACUUUAAAAGAAAGAUUAGCUCUUUCCAGAUUAUAUUCUCUAAAACUUUAAAUAUCCAUCUUCUGUAGUAUUUCAUUAGAUGCAUGUUCUCAUUAUGUUUUUCUUAUGUUGUGUUAUGAUUAUUCUUGUUUGAUUUUUUUCCCUUUUGCAUAUCUUUAGGUUCCCUUUUAUUUGAGAAAGUAAUGGAUAAUUGUCCUAGGGUUGCAUUGGGGUUCAAUUUAUUUAGGAUAUAUUUGAGGUUGAGUUUAAGUUAAGGUUAUAAUAGUUUAAGUGUAUAUUAAAGUUGUUGCAGCUUUUGUCGAAAGUAGGGAGUUUGACAAAAUCUUGAUUUAAUCAAAAUAGGUGAUUGCAAGAUUUUUUUUUUUGAAUUUGUACUGGCAUUUUCUAUGUUAUUAAUGUGAGAUUUCCCUUAUAAAAGCCUAUCAGAUUUCGAGAGAUAUUUUUCUCCUCUAGAUCAGCAUCAAAGUUUCAUGGUUAAAUGGCGUUCUCAGGUUGGUUACAAUGUCUUCCUUCUGCAAAAAUUUCAUUGCAGAAAUCUACAGGUUAGUUGCUGUUUUCUACAGCUUUUAGUAUUUGAGAUUUGGAAGCUUUGUGGAAUCAUAAGUACAACCAAUAAACAAGUUAAAAUGUGUUAAAUAUUUAAAUUAAAGCCUUUGAAGUCAAUUUUAUAAAUAUUCUUAUUAAAUUAAAAUAUCUUUUUAGCAUUUUCCAACCAAUAGAUAUUAAUAUUUUGAAUUUUUUUGAUGUAAUAGGAUUUUUGUAGUUGUCAUUGGAGAAACUAUUUUUUUAGGAAGAUAAGUUAUCAUUUAAUUAUUUUCUCAUAGAGAUCUACUAAUUUUGCAUUGAUGAUAUCUCAUAAGGAGGGAGGUUAUCCAGGUGAGUACAAUACCAUUAUUCAUCCUUUCUUCAAGUUUAGUUAUGUCAAUGGUUGUAAAAGUAGUGGGAUAUACAUAGAACAUAUUUAAUUUUUUAAUGGAUUUUUCUUUUGUUUUCAAAAGAACUUAUUGAGGAGGCUACUGCUUUGAACAAUAUGCCACUUCAAAAGAAAGGUUAGCUCUUUUCAGAUUAUAUUCUCUAAACUUUAAAUAUCCAUCUUCUUAAGUAUUUCAUUAGAUGUUUGUUCUCUUUGAGUUUCUUAUUGAGAAACAUUUGCAUUAUUGAAGAAAGACAACCUUUACAAAGAUGGAAUGGAAAUAUGCAGUGGCUGGUGAUCAUGAACUUGCCAGCAAGUCGCUUAUUUACUUUAUUGAAAAGGUAAUCGCUCAUUCCAAAUAUGCAGAAAAGUUAUAUGCUGACUGAUAAUGGUUUAUAAUUAGGAAUUUUUCUCGCCUGGUGAUCAAUCUAAACAAAGAAGAAUCUUUUGUAGAAUUGGUUGGAAGAAGGCAAAUUGGAAUGUGUGAGGAACUUGGAGGCCUUUAGAAGGUUUGAUUUCCACCACCCUAAUGAAUUUUUUCUAAAUUUUUUUACUUCAACAAAUUGUACAUGAUUUGACCUUUUUUUUUUAAAUUUUUUCUAAUGGUAAACUGUGUUCUCAUUAUAGACUAUGGACGAUGAUCUUGCAUGAAAGCGUAUAUUAAAGUUGUUGCAGCUUUUGUAGAAAAUAAGGAGUUUGACAAAAUCUUGAUUUAAUCAAAAUAGGUGAUUGCAACCAUUUUUUUUUUUUUUGGAAUUUGUACUGACAUUUUCUAUGCUAUUAAUGUGAGAUUUCUCUUAUAAAAGUCUAUCAUAUUUGGAGAGAUUAGUUUCUCCUUUAGAUCAGCAUCAAAGAUUCAUAGUUAAAUUGCGUUUAUUAUAGUGUCUGUUACAAUGUCUUCCUUCCGCAAAAAAUUCCUUGUAGAAAUUUGCAGGUUAGUUACUGUUUUCUGCAGCUUUUAGUAUUUGAGAUUUGGAAGCUUGUGGUAUCAUAAGCACAACCGAUAAACAAGUUAAAAUGUGUUAAAUAUUCAAAUUAAAGCCUUUUAAGUCAAAUUUAUAAGUAUUCUUAUUGAAUUAAAAUCUCUUUUUAGCAUUUUCCAUCCAAUAGAUGUUAAUAUUUUGAAUUUUUUUUAUGGAAUCGGAUUUUUGUAGUUAUCAUCAAGAAAUUAUUUUUUUAGGAAGAUCAAUUAUCAUUUAAUUAUUUACUCAUUGAGAUUUACUAAUUUUGCAUUGAUAAUGUGUCAAAAGAAGGGAGGUUAUCCAGGUGAGUACAAUACCAUUAUACAUCUUUUCUUCAAGUUUAGUUACGUCAAUGGUUGUAAAAGUAGUGAGAUAUGCACAGAAGGUAUGUAAUUUUUUAAUGGAUUUUUCUUUUUGUUUUCAAAACAUCUUAUCGAGGAGGCUACUGCUUUGCUAUACCAUAUGUUGAACGAUAUGCCACUUCAAAAGGAAGGUUAGCUCUUUUCAAAUUAUAUUCUCUAAAACUUUUAAAUAUCCAUCUUCUUUAGUAUUUCAUUAGAUGUCUAUUCUCAUUGAGUUUUUCUUAUAUUGUGUUUUGAUUUUUUCCCUUUUGCAUAUCUUUAGGUUCCUAAGGCCUUCCAUUUGAGAAAGUAAUGGAUAAUUGUCUUAUUGCAUUGGGGUUUAAUUUAUUUGGUAUAUAUUUUUGGUUUUGAGUUUAAGUUAAAGUUAUAAUAUUUGAUUUGUGAGCUUAGGUUUGUUCAAUCGGUAAAAUGAGUUUAGUGUGUUUGUGAUCUGGUGGUCUGUACGAAGCUUAAUGACCUGUAUGCUCCAAGAAUGACUUGCAGUAUGGAGGAAUUAAGUAUUCUAAAUUUGUAUGAAUGUGUGUGUAUAGGAGGAAUUAGGGAUUCAAAAUUUGUGUAGCUGUGUGUAUGGGAGUUUUCUUAUUGUUUUUAUCUUUGUGCCAUGACAUAUAGGUUUCUUAGGUUUCAUUGGCUUGGGUUUUUUAGUGAUUGAUGAUGUUGCUGUCAAAUUUUUAAUUGUGGUUGCAUCUAAUUUGAUGAAGUUUAAGUUAAAGAAUAUAACUGGUAAUGAAGUUUAAGUUACUGAUGAUGUUACUGCAAGAGAAAUAUUUGGGUUGUGGUUUCUUCAUUCUUGAGUGUGAUUGGUUGUCAUCUGUUUGCCACUUUGAAUUUUACCUUGCAGAGUAGGAGGUAUUAAAGUUUCAAAUUUUCUAAGCUUGUGUGUUUGUACGGAAUUUCUAUGUUUGUGUGUUUGUUGGGAAUUUUUGUUUUGCUGGUUUUGUUCUGCUGUUCGGUUUCUAGGUUUCAUUCCCAUGGCUUCUAAUUCUUAAUGGUUAAUGUGUAAUUUUUUGUUUUAGUGCUUUUGACUUGAUGAAGUUUGAUCUGAACUUCAAUUAAUAUUUGAUCUCUUAUGCUUUAACAUUCCAUUUAAAUUCUAGUUUAGCUUGCAUUUUUUAUCUUCUGUGUAUAGAGUUUAGUUUUGGAAAAUUUUCUUUUGAAUAAUCCUUGGUUUGUGGUUUUUUAAUUGUGUUUGUCAUUUGAUAGUCUAUACGGAGCUUAGUGCGAGCUUAGUUGGCUGUGUACCAAGCACGAUUUGCUAGAGAAAUGAAUUAGAAAUUAUAUUGCGGUAUGGUCCAAAUUUGUAUGGCUACACUUUUGUAUGUGUUGGGAUUUUCUUCUUGGUUUGCUGGUUCAACUUUGUUGCAUGACAAAUUUUAAUCUUAGGUUUAAUUUCAAAAAUUUAAUCUAGACGAACAAUGAGGUUGAGUACUUACCCUGUAACAGAGCCUCUUUCUUCUUGAUUCUUGAUCAUGCAUUUUGUUUUCUUGCGUCUUGAUUAUUUAUGUUUUGCAGGUUUCACUCUAUUUGUUGCAUGAUGGAUUGUUUCCUUAGGAUUAACUUCAGAAACUUAAAUCUGGACAAGCACUGAGAUGGAAGAUUGUCUCUUUUUUAUUGGAUUCUUUCAAAAUCCAUGAUCUUCCUUAGCAUUUUUGUUGUAAUGUCAUGGUAACUCUAAAUAUCCUUCAUGUUUGGCCA
Durio zibethinus is the source of this 9896-nucleotide non-coding RNA. The record is from RefSeq and is a predicted model, not a curated record. Lineage: Eukaryota; Viridiplantae; Streptophyta; Magnoliopsida; Malvales; Malvaceae.